GAAUUUGGACAUGGGGGCACCCUGCAUCCAGCCAUGCCGCGUUGUGUGUAAGAAGGCCUUUUGGUUGUAAAGCACUUUAAGCAGAUGAAGAAGACUCCAUGGAUAAUACCCAUGGCACGAUGACAUUAGCUGCAUAAUAAGCACCGGCUAACUCUGUGCCAGCCAGCCGCGGUAAUACCCGAGGGUGACAUGCGUUUAUUCGCGAAUUACUGGGGCGUAAAGCGAGCGUAGGUGGCUUGAUAAGUCAGAUGUGAAAUCCCCGGGCUUAACCUGGGAACUGCAUCUGAUACUGUUAGGCUAGAAUAGGUGAGAGGAAGGUAGAAUUCCAGGUGUAGCGGUGAAAUGCGUAGAGAUCUGGAGGAAUACCGAUGGCGAAGGCAGCCUUCUGGCAUCAUAUUGACACUGAGGUUCGAAAGCGUGGGUAGCAAACAGGAUUAGAUACCCUGGUAGUCCACGCCGUAAACGAUGUCUACUAGUCGUUGGGUCCCUUGAGGACUUAGUGACGCAGCUAACGCAAUAAGUAGACCGCCUGGGGAGUACGGCCGCAAGGUUAAAACUCAAAUGAAUUGACGGGGGCCCGCACAAGCGGUGGAGCAUGUGGUUUAAUUCGAUGCAACGCGAAGAACCUUACCUGGUCUUGACAUAUCUAGAAUCCUGCAGAGAUGCGGGAGUGCCUUCGGGAAUUAGAAUACAGGUGCUGCAUGGCUGUCGUCAGCUCGUGUCGUGAGAUGUUGGGUUAAGUCCCGCAACGAGCGCAACCCUUGUCCUUAGUUACCAGCGGGUUAAGCCGGGAACUCUAAGGAUACUGCCAGUGACAAACUGGAGGAAGGCGGGGGACGACGUCCAAUUCUCCAUGGCCCUUACGACCAGGGCUACACACGUGCUACAAUGGUAGGUACAGAGGGCAGCUACACAGCGAUGUGAUGCGAAUCUCAAAAAGCCUAUCGUAGUCCAGAUUGGAGUCUGCAACUCGACUCCAUGAAGUAGGAAUCGCUAAAUCGCGGAUCAGAAUGCCGCGGGAACUCAR
This 1027-nucleotide ribosomal RNA is filed under the name uncultured Psychrobacter sp. RNAcentral describes it as "bacterial SSU rRNA". It matches the Rfam family "Bacterial small subunit ribosomal RNA", at positions 359 to 1370 of the family's 1533-position model. The record is from RNAcentral. Lineage: Bacteria; Pseudomonadati; Pseudomonadota; Gammaproteobacteria; Moraxellales; Moraxellaceae.